This 253-nucleotide ribosomal RNA is filed under the name uncultured bacterium. RNAcentral's name for it is "partial 16S ribosomal RNA". It matches the Rfam family "Bacterial small subunit ribosomal RNA", at positions 524 to 776 of the family's 1533-position model. The record is from RNAcentral.
UACAGAGGGUGCGAGCGUUGUUCGGAAUUAUUGGGCGUAAAGGGCGCGUAGGCGGUGCGGUAAGUCACCUGUGAAAUCUCCUGGCUCAACUGGGAGCUUGCAGGCGAAACUGCCGUGCUGGAGUGUGGGAGAGGUGAGUGGAAUUCCCGGUGUAGCGGUGAAAUGCGUAGAUAUCAGGAGGAACACCGGUGGCGAAGGCGGUGAUCUGGGCCGACACUGACGCUGUAGAGCGAAAGCGUGGGGAGCGAACAGG